Polyodon spathula (Mississippi paddlefish) is the source of this 901-nucleotide long non-coding RNA. RefSeq lists it as uncharacterized. The transcript is spliced from 3 exons. NCBI's taxonomy places the organism in Eukaryota, Metazoa, Chordata, Actinopteri, Acipenseriformes, Polyodontidae. The record is from RefSeq and is a predicted model, not a curated record.
GUGUGAGUGGCCUCUUUUCAAAGGUGAGUGGGACUGAAUGAAGUCCAUUUAGAAUGCUGCCAGAGCUCUACUUUAUCAUGACUAUGCUGCUGCCAUAAUUUAGGGUUAAAAACAAGUCCUUAUCUCACUUAAUCAAAACAGAAUUAUAUAUCCCUUAGUUUUUCUGUUCAUCUUCAUUUUUGAGUUUUCAACUCAAUCUCUAUGAAUAUAAAAGGUUUAAUAAAAGAAGUGGCAACAGCUUAUUUUUUUGUUCACACUUUUUUCUAAACAGUGUUAAGUUCGUCCCUAAGAGGCAGCUACUCACAUCUGCGACUGUCAGCUGAGUCUGGAGCUGCCAGGGAGAGCUGAUCGGUACGUUUGAUGAGAAGAUAUGAUAUGAUAUAAGAUAUGAGAAGGAGUCCUGGAGCAGGGAGCUCCUGGAGGAGCUGAGGACUGCUCGUGGGGCCCCCGCUGUGCAGGAGCCGGUGAGCAGCAGAUCAGGGCCAUGAGCCGCCAGCAAUCCAUGGACAGACAGUGAGAAUCAGAGGAUUAGGCAUCGGGAGCUACAGCCACGUAAGCAGCACUUAACCCCAGAGCACUAUGUGUACUGCACAGCACAGAGACAGCACAACCCAUCACCACUGGUUCAGGAGCACUUACCUUGUGCACAAAGCUGGAAGACUGGAAAGUGGCGUUACCAGAAUUAUUGUUUGGGACUGAAAACCCCUGUGUUUUUACUUCUGCUAUACCAUUGCUGGUGUAGGAGUGGAUUGUUAUUAUUUGUAACAUUAUAAAUAGGCCACAAUAAACAGUCACAAUAAUUCAAAUAAGUAUGGUGCUUGUGUAAAGCCAGCGUGAGUAUUUUUGUUAUUUUUCUUACUGUUUCUACAUCUUUUUUCUCCACAACUCAAUGAACAGGCAA